RNAcentral lists this ribosomal RNA (587 nucleotides) under uncultured bacterium. RNAcentral's name for it is "partial 16S ribosomal RNA". It matches the Rfam family "Bacterial small subunit ribosomal RNA", at positions 355 to 937 of the family's 1533-position model. The record is from RNAcentral.
UAGGGAAUCUUCCGCAAUGGGCGAAAGCCUGACGGAGCAACGCCGCGUGUGCGAAGAAGGUCUUCGGAUCGUAAAGCACUGUUGUUAAGGAAGAACGACAGUAAGAGUCACUGCUUACUGUGUGACGGUACUUAACCAGAAAGCCACGGCUAACUACGUGCCAGCAGCCGCGGUAAUACGUAGGUGGCAAGCGUUAUCCGGAAUUAUUGGGCGUAAAGCGCGCGUAGGCGGCGAAAUAAGUCUGAUGUGAAAGCCCUCGGCUCAACCGGGGAAGGUCAUUGGAAACUGUAUCGCUUGAGUGCAGAAGAGGAGAGUGGAAUUCCAUGUGUAGCGGUGAAAUGCGCAGAGAUAUGGAGGAACACCAGUGGCGAAGGCGGCUCUCUGGUCUGUAACUGACGCUGAUGUGCGAAAGCGUGGGGAUCAAACAGGAUUAGAUACCCUGGUAGUCCACGCCGUAAACGAUGAGUGCUAAGUGUUAGGGGGUUUCCGCCCCUUAGUGCUGCAGCAAAACGCAUUAAGCACUCCGCCUGGGGAGUACGGCCGCAAGGCUGAAACUCAAAGGAAUUGACGGGGUCAUAGCUGUUUCC